Thermoplasmatales archaeon is the source of this 75-nucleotide non-coding RNA. The record is from Rfam. NCBI's taxonomy places the organism in Archaea, Methanobacteriati, Thermoplasmatota, Thermoplasmata, Thermoplasmatales.
GGGGCCGUAGGGUAGCUUGGUCUAUCCUCCAGGCUUUGGGAGCCUGAUACCCGAGUUCAAAUCUCGGCGGCCCCA